This 2539-nucleotide transfer RNA is filed under the name Hevea brasiliensis (rubber tree). The stretch from base 1727 to 1798 matches the Rfam family "tRNA". The record is from RNAcentral. Lineage: Eukaryota; Viridiplantae; Streptophyta; Magnoliopsida; Malpighiales; Euphorbiaceae.
GCAAGCACACCACACAAGCACUAUUAUCACUUCUUCUUCUCCAUCUUCUCACUUUUUCGAGCCUCACUCGGGCCCUAUCACCAGAAACAACUCAUUUCCACCGACUGUCGCCGGUUACUAGACGUCGACUAGAAACAAAGAAAAAUGAGAGAAAUCCUUCACAUUCAAGGUGGACAAUGUGGUAACCAGAUCGGAUCCAAGUUCUGGGAGGUCGUUUGUGACGAGCAUGGCAUUGACCCUACGGGACGAUACACUGGAUCUUCUGAUCUGCAGUUAGAGCGCGUCAAUGUGUACUACAAUGAGGCCUCAUGCGGGCGAUUUGUACCUCGUGCUGUGCUUAUGGAUCUUGAACCUGGUACCAUGGACAGUGUGAGGACUGGUCCCUAUGGUCAAAUCUUCAGGCCUGAUAACUUUGUGUUUGGGCAGUCUGGUGCUGGAAAUAACUGGGCCAAGGGGCAUUACACUGAGGGAGCAGAGCUGAUUGAUGCAGUUUUGGAUGUUGUGCGGAAGGAGGCCGAGAACUGUGACUGUCUACAAGGUUUUCAAGUCUGCCACUCUCUGGGUGGUGGAACUGGUUCUGGAAUGGGAACUCUCUUGAUUUCUAAGAUCAGAGAGGAAUACCCUGACAGGAUGAUGCUCACUUUUUCCGUGUUCCCAUCACCCAAGGUUUCAGAUACUGUUGUCGAGCCAUACAAUGCCACCCUUUCUGUGCAUCAAUUAGUUGAGAAUGCUGAUGAAUGCAUGGUGCUGGACAACGAGGCCUUGUAUGAUAUCUGUUUCAGGACUCUCAAGUUAACUACUCCCAGCUUUGGAGAUCUGAACCAUCUGAUCUCUGCAACUAUGAGUGGGGUCACCUGCUGCCUUAGGUUUCCUGGUCAGCUUAACUCUGACCUCAGGAAACUUGCAGUGAAUCUCAUCCCCUUCCCCCGUCUACACUUCUUUAUGGUUGGAUUUGCUCCUCUGACAUCACGUGGUUCCCAGCAGUACCGAGCACUAACCGUCCCAGAACUUACACAGCAAAUGUGGGAUGCUAAGAACAUGAUGUGUGCAGCUGAUCCAAGGCACGGUAGGUACUUGACAGCCUCAGCUAUGUUCAGAGGCAAAAUGAGCACCAAGGAAGUUGAUGAACAAAUGAUAAAUGUACAAAACAAGAACUCUUCCUAUUUUGUUGAGUGGAUUCCUAACAAUGUGAAGUCAAGUGUGUGUGACAUUCCUCCAACUGGGUUAUUGAUGUCAUCAACAUUUAUGGGAAAUUCUACCUCUAUACAAGAAAUGUUCAGGCGUGUCUCCGAACAAUUCACUGUCAUGUUUAGGAGAAAGGCAUUCUUGCAUUGGUAUACAGGGGAAGGAAUGGAUGAAAUGGAGUUUACUGAGGCAGAAAGUAACAUGAAUGAUUUGGUAUCUGAAUAUCAACAAUAUCAAGAUGCUGUUGCAGAGAAUGAGGAGGAGGAGGGUGAGGAUGAGGAUGAAGAGGCUAUGUAGAGUUGAAGGUGGCAUUUUAAAUUUUAAUUGGUUUUGGUUUGGCAAAAAUGUUGUGUUCUUCUUUUUCUUCAUGUUUGUGGCUUGACAAUGGUGAAUAAGUCAUGUGUAUAGUUUCUGGACCUAGGCGGUGAAAAUGAGCUUUCCUUAUAAAUUUUCGUGAGAUUCAUGAUUAUUCAAAUGCAUGUUCUGUAUUUGUACUUACCUGUAAUAAUACUGAUAAUGAUGGCGCACAAACGAUGUAGCCGGGUCCAUAGCUCAGUGGUAGAGCAUUUGACUGCAGAUCAAGAGGUCACCGGUUCAAACCCGGUUGGGCCCUUUUUUUUUCUUUUUUUUGUUCAUCACAACCAAAACCAAACCAAUUAUCAGUCACAAAAUGUAAGCCAAACCAUAAAAGAAACUUUUUUUUUGUUUUGGAGAAAUUUCAAAUUCUGGCUUGAAUGGUUGACACAACACCAUUAUGCUUAGAUGACACUGAGUUUGUGCUUGAUAUAUAUAUAUAUAUAAUCAUUGUAAGAUCAAAACAAGUUUUCGACCUCUAGGAAGACUUCAUGGUGCGGGUCAUCAUGUUCAUGAAUUCAUCUAUGUCAAUCAAACCAUCUCCAUCACUAUCAACUCCUUUUAUCAUUUUUCUACAAGCAUCCAAACUAAACUUCUCUCCCAUCCUCUUCAAGACUUGCAUUAAUUCUUCUGCACUUAUUUUCCCAUUGCCAUCCAAAUCGAAAGCUUGAAACGCACUAUGAAUAUCACUGGCCUUCACCCCAUCUCCCUCGCUAUUCAUCAUCUUCAUGAACUCCUUGAAGUCUAUGAAACCAUCUCCAUCAGUAUCAGUAGCCUCAAAUGACUUGGCCAUUUCAUCUUCGUCCAUUCCCUUGCCCAAGCUCCUCAACGCUGACUUGUACUCUUGGCGUGAAAUCUUGCCAUCUUUGUUGGUGUCAAAUUUGGAAAACACCCAUUUCAUCUCUUCUUCAUUUGGUUGGAAAGAUUUUGGUGACACACUAACAUUAGAGAUUUGUUUUUCUCUGUAGAUGCUUGAGUGGACUGGUUUUACUGACGAGGC